Aphis gossypii (cotton aphid) is the source of this 374-nucleotide long non-coding RNA. RefSeq lists it as uncharacterized. The record is from RefSeq and is a predicted model, not a curated record. Lineage: Eukaryota; Metazoa; Arthropoda; Insecta; Hemiptera; Aphididae. The transcript has 2 exons.
UUAUAAAACAUCGAUAUAAUAAUAUAAUAUAAAAUAUUUUUUCAAUAUGAUUAUAAAAAUAAGGAAAAUUUAGAUCAGCUACUGUAUCAUACAGUAAUCGUGUUUGUCUUCGUACACGCCCACCCACCGUUUUAUCGUUAAACGCGUGUAGAAACUUAAACUACAAUAGCGGGUUCCUAGAAUCUAGUGCCUGGACGGAUUAGAUUUACAAUUGGGCCCUACAAAAGUGGCACUGCAAUCGGAGUCAAGAAAAUUUUUAACAAAGACGUGUCUUAAAUAACACAUAUUGUGUGAAUAUUAGAUGUCAAUGAUUUCGAGAACCACUCAUUCGAUUGUAAUUUUUUUUUUUUUAUAAAAGAACACUCUAAAGAGUA